RNAcentral lists this ribosomal RNA (282 nucleotides) under uncultured Pseudomonas sp. Its description in RNAcentral is "partial 16S ribosomal RNA". It matches the Rfam family "Bacterial small subunit ribosomal RNA", at positions 1100 to 1382 of the family's 1533-position model. Lineage: Bacteria; Pseudomonadati; Pseudomonadota; Gammaproteobacteria; Pseudomonadales; Pseudomonadaceae. The record is from RNAcentral.
AACCCUUGUCCUUAGUUACCAGCACGUUAUGGUGGGCACUCUAAGGAGACUGCCGGUGACAAACCGGAGGAAGUGGGGAUGACGUCAAGUCAUCAUGGCCCUUACGGCCUGGGCUACACACGUGCUACAAUGGUCGGUACAAAGGGUUGCCAAGCCGCGAGGUGGAGCUAAUCCCAUAAAACCGAUCGUAGUCCGGAUCGCAGUCUGCAACUCGACUGCGUGAAGUCGGAAUCGCUAGUAAUCGCGAAUCAGAAUGUCACGGUGAAUACGUUCCCGGGCCUU